AUUAUAGCAUCUGUGCUCGUGUAAGGUACAGAUGCUACUAUGCUCAUCACUAUCACUACUAUUUCUACUACCAUCAUGGGUACCACUGCACUCACUACUGGCAUACCUACCACUGCAGGCGAUGCCAGCACUACUGAGAAGCAGCAACGCCCAGGGAUCACAGUGCUGGAGUUUACCUGACAACAGACCUGCAAGCAAAGCUUAAACACACCAGCAACCUUCUUUUGUAGCAUGGCUGUAACCUUUCUGUUGUGGUCCCUCUCCCCAAACACAGCUACAGCACCCAUACUUAUUUCUAUCAGGCCGUUCACAGUUUGUUUAAAACAGCUGCUCUCUGUUGUGCAUUUGGUCAAUCUCUUCAAGGAUAUAUAAUAGAGACAACAUUAUUUUUCUAUUGGGUGAUUCCCUGCCUCUCAUGAAGCAGGUCUUUACAUUGUAUGGAAAGGUGUCCUUAUUUAACAUGUAGUCUCAGAUUCUCAGUGAGAUCACAUGCUCACACAUGUUUGAAUAGAAGCACAGCUGCACAUGGGCACAUAUACAAAGCGUUACUUGGAGAGCGUGCUUGAUUGUUUUGCCCCAGCUCAUAAUCACUGCACCGGGUCAGGUUUGACCAGUACGCUCCUUUCUUCUCCCAGCUCCUCACAGCCACCCUGUGAUGUCACAAGUGUCCAGUGACAGGCCUUGUUCACAGACUGACAAAAAUAUCUUGUUUAUAUAGAGACUUUCUUAAUCUCUCAAUUAUUUUAAAAUCUCUUUAUUUGCAUUCAUGACAACAAAUGCUCAAACUGUUGACCAGUAUAAAUGCUGUCCUGCCAAAAAAACAACUGUCUGCUGUUACAUGAAACUGGGAAAAAGCCUCUCUCUUGCUGUAAAGCUUUUUCAGCAAUAAAGCUAUUAGCAUCAA
Long non-coding RNA from Acipenser ruthenus (sterlet), 904 nucleotides. RefSeq lists it as uncharacterized. The record is from RefSeq and is a predicted model, not a curated record. NCBI's taxonomy places the organism in Eukaryota, Metazoa, Chordata, Actinopteri, Acipenseriformes, Acipenseridae. The transcript has 4 exons.